UUGGGCGGGGGAGCGGAUCAGCAGGACCACUGGAUAGCCGAGGGAGGGGAGAGAGAGAGAGAGAGAGAGAGCAGAAGGCGAGGGGGACGAGGUGAGAAUGAGCCGGAGCCAGGGACUCCCGGUGAAGCCUCAGCAAGAGACGGCCAGGCACGUGGUGAGGGUGGAGCUCAAGAGCGGCGUGCUCUAUUGGGGAAUCAUGAUCGAGGGCGAGGACAACUGGAACUGCCAGCUCUGGAAUAUCAUUUGCACCGCCAAGGUCCUCUUUUUUUAACUCUGCUACCCCUCUAGAUCUUCUCUUUCCCUCUUUGGUUUUGAUCUACUGUCGUCGUUCGACUCCAAGAUCGCAAUGUUCAUGUUUUAAGACGCAUGUCUGCAUGUGAUGACAGUAAUUGAUCUCAAAUAGUUCCUGUGUUUCUAUGGCUUCAAUACUUUAGGAGUUACUGUAAAUGUUCUUUUUUGUUGGUUGAGUUGUGAUGGGAAGGGAAAGUGUCACGACUGGAGUAUGUUUUUGUCCGACGAAGCUAAGGUAAGGUAAAUUGAUGGUACCCAACUUGUUAUCGCAUGCUUGAAUCCAUUGAAUGCAGUCUGCGUGGGAUCACUUUGUUUGUGGUUGUGUUAGCACAGGUUUAUGGUGCUGAAGAAUGUUCAAGCGUGGGAUCACAAUGUUCAAGCGUCUUGAUGCGAGAAUUAGAGUGAGAUAGGUGUUGCCUAUCAUAGUCUUCUUGUUUUCCUCCUUCAAUUCUUAAGUUACAUGAUUAUGAUUACUUCUUCAUUGAGGGCAAAGGAUCAACAAGAGCCUAGCUGCUUCUUGGUGCCCAUGUAUCCUUAAUGCUGCUUCUUGGUGCCAACAAGAGAGCCAAGAGCCUAGCUGCUGGGAGCUAUGACUUGUGUGUUGAAGAUCAAGGCCGGCAUGCUGCCCAAUUGUAGUGACAACAAUCAUGAAUGGUGCGAACAAUCUGAGCUUGUGACAGAGAAUGUAUUGGACAGCACUGAUAAAUACUUUGGAUGAGACAGUUGAUAUCCAUGUUGAUGAAAAGAAAAGAAAAGAGGACUCGAAAGCAAUACCUUCCAUGGGCAUUUGUCUCUGCAGGCUUCUGGCCAACAAAUAUGGAGGCAUCUUGACUACUAUCAGUGCGCAUAAGAUGAUGAUAGGUCAAUGUGCUGCAACCUCAAAGGUCUGGGAUUCACUACUGCAAGAGUUGUGCCGCGCCCUCAGAUGUUCUCUCCAGGUGGUAAUUCUGGAAGCUUAGGAGAAGUUCCAAGCACCCUUUCCAUGUCGAAGCGGACUUCAAUAUUGCGAAUGCUAUAGCCAACUACCAUCAUCCAAAAUAGCAGAUUGGCAAGUUGAGAAGCGCUUGUUUCUGUCAUCGACGUCUACGGCAAUAAUAAGCAGUUACUUGAGUAUCACUCUAUAAAACA
This is a long non-coding RNA of Musa acuminata AAA Group (dessert banana), 1419 nucleotides long. RefSeq lists it as uncharacterized. The transcript is spliced from 3 exons. The record is from RefSeq and is a predicted model, not a curated record. NCBI's taxonomy places the organism in Eukaryota, Viridiplantae, Streptophyta, Magnoliopsida, Zingiberales, Musaceae.